ACGGGAAGAGCCCAAACCAACAAGCUUGCUUGUUGGGGUUGUAGGACACUCUAUACGGAGUUACAAAGGACGACAUUAGACGAAUCAUCUGGAAAGAUGAAUCAAAGAAGGUAAUAAUCCUGUAGUCGAAAAUGUUGUCUCUCUUGAGUGGAUCCUGAGUACGACGGAGCACGUGAAAUUCCGUCGGAAUCUGGGAGGACCAUCUCCUAAGGCUAAAUACUCUCUAGUGACCGAUAGUGAACCAGUACCGUGAGGGAAAGGUGAAAAGCACCCCGGAAGGGGAGUGAAAUAGAACCUGAAACCGUGUGCUUACAAGUAGUCAGAGCCCGUUAAUGGGUGAUGGCGUGCCUUUUGUAGAAUGAACCGGCGAGUUACGAUUUGAUGCAAGGUUAAGCAGUAAAUGUGGAGCCGUAGCGAAAGCGAGUCUGAAUAGGGCGUUUAGUAUUUGGUCGUAGACCCGAAACCAGGUGAUCUACCCUUGGUCAGGUUGAAGUUCAGGUAACACUGAAUGGAGGACCGAACCGACUUACGUUGAAAAGUGAGCGGAUGAACUGAGGGUAGCGGAGAAAUUCCAAUCGAACCUGGAGAUAGCUGGUUCUCUCCGAAAUAGCUUUAGGGCUAGCCUCAAGUGAUGAUUAUUGGAGGUAGAGCACUGUUUGGACGAGGGGCCCCUCUCGGGUUACCGAAUUCAGACAAACUCCGAAUGCCAAUUAAUUUAACUUGGGAGUCAGAACAUGGGUGAUAAGGUCCGUGUUCGAAAGGGAAACAGCCCAGACCACCAGCUAAGGUCCCAAAAUAUAUGUUAAGUGGAAAAGGAUGUGGCGUUGCCCAGACAACUAGGAUGUUGGCUUAGAAGCAGCCAUCAUUUAAAGAGUGCGUAAUAGCUCACUAGUCGAGUGACACUGCGCCGAAAAUGUACCGGGGCUAAACAUAUUACC
RNAcentral lists this ribosomal RNA (938 nucleotides) under Staphylococcus aureus. Its description in RNAcentral is "partial 23S ribosomal RNA". It matches the Rfam family "Bacterial large subunit ribosomal RNA", at positions 258 to 1195 of the family's 2925-position model. The record is from RNAcentral. Lineage: Bacteria; Bacillati; Bacillota; Bacilli; Caryophanales; Staphylococcaceae.